This 253-nucleotide ribosomal RNA is filed under the name uncultured bacterium. RNAcentral's name for it is "partial 16S ribosomal RNA". It matches the Rfam family "Bacterial small subunit ribosomal RNA", at positions 524 to 776 of the family's 1533-position model. The record is from RNAcentral.
UACAGAGGUCUCAAGCGUUGUUCGGAUUCAUUGGGCGUAAAGGGUGCGUAGGCGGCGCGGUAAGUCGGGUGUGAAAUCUCGGGGCUUAACUCCGAAACUGCAUUCGAUACUGCCGUGCUUGAGGACUGGAGAGGAGACUGGAAUUCCGGGUGGAGUGGUGAAAUGCGUAGAGAUCCGGAGGAACACCGAAGGCGAAGGCAGUGUCCUGGCGAGUGACUGACGCUGAGGUGCGAAAGCCAGGGGAGCGAACGGG